Transfer RNA from Gracilibacillus boraciitolerans JCM 21714, 73 nucleotides. It matches the Rfam family "tRNA". Rfam says of the family: Transfer RNA (tRNA) molecules are approximately 80 nucleotides in length. Their secondary structure includes four short double-helical elements and three loops (D, anti-codon, and T loops). NCBI's taxonomy places the organism in Bacteria, Bacillati, Bacillota, Bacilli, Caryophanales, Bacillaceae. The record is from Rfam.
GAUUCCGUAGCUCAGUUGGGAGAGCGCUACCUUGACAGGGUAGAGGUCGCUGGUUCGAGACCAGUCGGAAUCA